This 2130-nucleotide ribosomal RNA is filed under the name Triticum aestivum (bread wheat). Its description in RNAcentral is "partial small subunit ribosomal RNA". Lineage: Eukaryota; Viridiplantae; Streptophyta; Magnoliopsida; Poales; Poaceae. The record is from RNAcentral.
AUGGAUCCCGCGCCGGCGACCCCUCGCUGGAACCUGGAGCGCCCCUACCUCACCGGACGCUUCCACCAGGAGGCGAAGGUGUCCGCGGCGUCGCAGGCGCCCGGAUCCAAGCCUUUCUCUCUCGACUCAUUCAGCCGCGGAGCUGGCGGCGGCGCUGGGAGUGUCCUCGGAUCGUACGCUGUUUCUGUGCAGGAGCUUUUAGUUAUUGAUGAUUUGCUAUCAGCUCUGGUGGGUAUUGAGGGAAGAUACAUUUCAAUUAAGAGAGUACGCGGAAAGGAGGGAUAUGUUGUCUUCCAGAUUGAUUCUUCAAUGGACCUUGCACUCCAGGAGUUGACUCGCCGAAUUUUCCCCUUAUGUGAAGAUUUCGUGCUAGCAAGUCAGUUUGUGGAGUCCAGGUCACAUUUCAAAACUGGUUUGGUUAACCAUGCUCUAGCGGCAGCUCUAAGGGCAUUCCUCCUGGAUUAUCAGGCAAUGGUUGCUCAACUGGAGCAUCAAUUCCGUCUUGGAAGGCUCUCUGUUCAAGGAUUAUGGUUCUUUUGUCAGCGGAUGAUGAGUUCAUUGAAUGCACUGGCUGUUCUAAUAGAGAAGGCUAUGUCCAAUAAUACUAGUGGUUCGGCGACACUUAAUCUACUUCAUAGUCAGGCAAAGGCGAUGGCUGGCGAUAGUGCUGUUCGGUCAUUACUGGAGAAGAUGACCGAUUGUGCAAGUGCAGCAUACCUCAGGAUGUUGGAAAGAUGGGUGUAUGAGGGUGUCAUAGAUGACCCUUAUGGUGAAUUCUUCAUUGCUGAAAACAAAUCUCUGCAGAAGGAGAGUCUGACUCAAGAUUAUGAUGCCAAAUAUUGGCAGCAACGGUACAGCCUAAAAGAUGGCAUCCCUAGUUUUCUCAAUAAUGUCGCUGCCACCAUUCUGACAACAGGAAAGUAUCUUAAUGUUAUGAGAGAAUGUGGGCACAAUGUUCAGGUUUCCCUAUCAGAAAACUCUAAGCUGACGAGCUUUGGUUCAAACCACCAAUAUCUUGAGUGCAUCAAAUCUGCUUAUGAUUUUGCAAGUGGUGAGCUCUUGACUCUAAUGAAAGAUAAGUAUGAUCUCAUUGGGAAACUGCGAUCAUUGAAGCGCUAUCUACUUCUUGACCAAGGUGAUUUUUUGGUUCAUUUUAUGGAUAUUGCCCGAGAGGAGCUUACAAAGAAACCAGAAGAUAUAUCCGUUGAAAAACUUCAGUCUCUUGUUGACAUCGCGUUGCGAAGUACAGCAGCUGCUUCCGAUCCAAGUCAUGAAGAUUUGACUUGUUGCGUUGAAAGAAGUUCCCUGCUUAAAAAACUGACAAGCCUGAAAGACUUGGACUGUGCUUACUCUUCAGACAAGCUUGCUGCAGCUGAUGUUGAUCAGCCCAUGACAUUAAACAUAACUGGCUUGGAAACGUUCUGCCUUGGCUACAAGAUUCCAUGGCCACUAUCUCUUGUAAUUUCAAGGAAGGCUUUAACAAAGUAUCAAUUGAUCUUUCGUCUAUUGUUUCACUGCAAACAUGUUAGUCGCCAAUUGUGUCAAGCGUGGCAGAUCCAACAAGGGUUCCGGUCUGUCAAGAUUCUUGGAACACCAAUUCUACGGUCAUCGAUACUUUGUCGCAGCAUGCUCAAGUUUGUAAACAGCCUUCUACAUUAUCUAACUUUUGAGGUUCUUGAACCAAACUGGCAUUCAAUGCAUGGCCGCCUUCAAACUGCAAGGAGCAUCGAUGAGGUCAUCCAGAUACACGAUUUCUUCCUCCAGAAGUGUCUAAAAGAAUGCUUGCUGUUGUUGCCUGAGCUCCUCAUGAAAGUUGAGAAGCUGAAAGCGUUAUGUCUUCAAUACGCGACUUCCAUCCAGCUCUUGAUACCAUCCAUCGAGGUCGCUGCUGCUGAGAGCAAAUCGAAAUCCGGGUCGUCGAGAGCAAGAGCCAAGAGAUCACAGGACAGAGACGAGCAACUGAAACUAGCAUCCGAGAACGUCGUGAUGUCGCAGUCAAUCCUGAAAUUCGAGUCGGAGUUCAACGCGGAGCUCCAGAGCCUCGUUCCUACGCUGAGCAAGAGCUCGCAGGCCGAACCAUACCUGACCCAUCUCGCGCAGUGCAUUCUUGGCGUCGGAAUCGACCAGUGA